Molecule: ribosomal RNA, 253 nt
Filed under: uncultured bacterium
Lineage: Bacteria
Description: partial 16S ribosomal RNA
Rfam family: Bacterial small subunit ribosomal RNA
Source: RNAcentral
UACGUAGGGUGCGAGCGUUGUCCGGAAUUAUUGGGCGUAAAGGGCUCGUAGGCGGUUUGUCGCGUCGGGAGUGAAAACACACAGCUUAACUGUGUGCUUGCUUCCGAUACGGGCAGACUAGAGGUAUGCAGGGGAGAACGGAAUUCCUGGUGUAGCGGUGAAAUGCGCAGAUAUCUGGAGGAACACCGGUGGCGAAGGCGGCGUUCUGGACUGUUUCUGACACUGAAUAACGAAAGCCAGGGGAGCAAACGGG